Molecule: long non-coding RNA, 2421 nt
Filed under: Homo sapiens (human)
Lineage: Eukaryota; Metazoa; Chordata; Mammalia; Primates; Hominidae
Description: HSALNT0322014
Source: RNAcentral
AGUUCGGGCGGGAGGCUGUCUCGGGCCCACUCUCGGAAGAACUUCUGCAAGACGGGUAAAAGAGCAGGCCUUAAAGAUGGGACACUUAUGGCUGAUCGGUUACUUCACGGUCCGAAAUACCACUUCUAAUUCCGGAAAGGGUUUAAAACUAUUUUAAAAUGUCAAGCGUUUAAGACUUGACGGAACAGGGCAAAAAACAUUACCUUCCUUUAAGGAACACCGUUUACACCACUACCGCUUAUUCCGUAGUUUGUUAUAACUGUAGUUAAUGUGUACGGUACCUUAAGAAAACGAACUCCAUUCUUUAUUUUGGCAAACUCCUAAGUAUUUAAUAUUAUAAUGUCAUUUGUAUAAUAAUUUACAGUUAGAUCUCUCAUACACAUAAUUUGUAUGGAUCAAAAGAGACCUCUGUAAGUUUGGGAUGGUGUUUUGCAGGUGAGAAAAGUGUGAUGCUUAAGGAAGGAUAUUUAACAAACAGAAGUAGCGCACAAACUUAGAUCUUCUGUUAUUAAGUGAAAGCUCUUUUCCUUGAUGUUAGUGUGUAUUUCUUUUUCUUUUUCUUUUUUCUUUUGAGAUGGAGUCUCGCUCUGUCGCCCAGGCUGGAGUGCAGUGACUCGAUCUCGGCUCACUGCAGCCUCCAUCUCCUGGGUUCCAGCGAUUCUCCUUCCUCAGUCUCCCGGGUAGCUGGGAUUUACAGGUACGCGCCACCACGACUGGCUAAUUUUUGUAUUUUUAGUAGAGACGGGGUUUCACCAUGUUGGCCAGGCUGGUCUCGAACUCCUGACCUCAGGUGAUCCGCCUGCGUCGGCUUCCCAAAGUGCUAGGAAUACAGGCGUGAGCCUCCAUGCCCGGCCCAUUUUUUUUUUUAAACUUUUUAGUUUCAAAUAAUUUUAAGCUUACAGAAAAGUUGUAAAAAUAAUAGAGAACUCCUGUUGUCCUUUACUCAGAUUAACCAAUUCUUAACAUUUUGCCACACUUGUUUUUACUAUUCUUCAUGUGUAAUAUACAUGUAUAAAUAUAUAAAUAAGCCUAUUAUUUGUAUUUUAUGAAUCAUUCUAAAAUAGGUUACAUACACUAUGCUCUUAUACCCCUUAUUUCUAAAGUGUGAAUUUCUUAAGAACCAGGGUAUCCUCUUGUAUGUUUAUCAAAUUAAGGAUAUUUAGCAUUGAUACAAUAUUUAUAUUUAAUCUAAUCUACAGUUCAUAUUCCGAUUUGUCAAUUGUUCCAGUAAUGUCUUUAUUUAACAUUUUUUCCUUCCAGUAUAGAUCUAGUACAGGAUCACAUACCGUAUUUAGUUACCAUAUCUUUUUAAUUUCCUUUAAUAUGGAAGAGUUCCUCAGCAUUUGUAUUUUUGUGACAUUGAGAUUUUUGAAGAGUGCAGGCCAAUUAUUUAUCAUUCGUUCAUUUGUUCAUUCCAGUAUUACUGAGGUAUAGUUGACAAAAAUUGUAUUUAUUCAAGUUGUACAGCAUGAUGAUUUCAUAUACAUUGUGAAAUGAUUACAACAAUCAAAUUAACACAUUGUCACCACUCUUAGGAGUGUGUGUGUGUGUGUGUGUGUGUGUUAAGGGCCAGUUAUUUUACAGAAUCUUCCCUACUUUGGGUUUGUCUCGUGUUUCCUCAUGAUUAGAUUCAGGUUAUGUAUUCCUGAUUGUAAUAUUACAUACAUGAGGUUAUAUUCUUUCCAAGAGACCACAUUUGGAGGCACGUGAUAUUGUUUGUCUCUCAUUAGUGAUGUUAAUUUGAUCCCAGUUUCUCCACUGUAUAAAUUGCUGGUUUUCUACUUGCAACUAAUAAGCAAUCUAUGGGGGAGACACUUGAAUUUCCUGCAAAUAUUCUGCUCCUCAGCAAACCCCUCUCUCACAAUUUAGCAGUAUUAUUGAUUUUUCCUAAACUAGUCUUUACUAUGAUAGUUACAAAAUGAUAAUUGUUCUCUUUCCAUAUGUAUUAGAAACAAUUUUGCCAAAAAGAUGAGCCCCGCCUGGUGUGGUGGCUCAAGUCUGUGAUCCCAGCACUUUGGGAAGUUGAGGCAAGCAGAUCGCUUGAGCCCAGGAGUUCCAGAUCAGCCUGGGCAAAAUAGUGGAAACACAGUCUCUACAAAAAAUACAAAAAUUAGCCAGGGGAGGUGACUUGCACCUGUGGUCCCAGCCACUCAGGAAGCUGAGGUGGAAAGAUCACUUGAGCCUGGGUGGCAAAGGCUGCAGUGUGCCAGGUUCAUGCCACUGCACCACAGCCUGGGCGACAGAGCGAUACCCUGUCUCCAAACAAACAAACAAACAAAAAACAACCAGAAGAGCCCUACAUUUUGCCCUGUUUAAUGAUAUACAGAUGGUCCCCAACUUAUUAUUAUGAUGGUACAAUUUAUGAUAUUUUGUCUUUACAAUGUAUUUAUAAGGCUAUUAAAUGCAUUUUUUGACUUAGGA